Molecule: ribosomal RNA, 587 nt
Filed under: Hypogymnia arcuata
Lineage: Eukaryota; Fungi; Ascomycota; Lecanoromycetes; Lecanorales; Parmeliaceae
Description: partial 28S large subunit ribosomal RNA
Rfam family: Eukaryotic large subunit ribosomal RNA
Source: RNAcentral
AUGUGACUGUGGAUCGACCCCAUGUGAAGCCUCUUCGAUGAGUCGAGUUGUUUGGGAAUGCAGCUCAAAAUGGGUGGUAAAUUUCAUCUAAAGCUAAAUACUGGCUGGAGACCGAUAGCGCACAAGUAGAGUGAUCGAAAGAUGAAAAGCACUUUGGAAAGAGAGUCAAAAAGUACGUGAAAUUGUUGAAAGGGAAGCGCUUGCAACCAGACCUGUCCGUAGGUGAUCAGCCGCUGUUCUCAGUGGUGCACUCGCUCUGCGAUCAGGCCAGCAUCGGUUCGGGCGGUCGGAUAAAGGCCUUGGGAAUGUAGCUUCCUUCGGGGAGUCUUAUAGCCCUCGGUGCAAUGCGGCCAGCCGGGACCGAGGACCGCGCUUCGGCUAGGAUGCUGGCGUAAUGGUUGUAAGCGACCCGUCUUGAAACACGGACCAAGGAGUCUAACAUCUAUGCGAGUGUUUGGGUGUCAAACCCAUGCGCGGAAUGAAAGUGAACGGAGGUGAGAACCCUUAAGGGCGCAUCAUCGACCGAUCCAGAUGUCUUCGGAUGGAUUUGAGUAUGAGCAUAGCUGUUGGGACCCGAAAGAUGGUGA